UCAAGUGACUAAGUGCAUGUGGCGGAUGCCUUGGCGAUCACAGGCGAAGAAAGACGCGGCAGCCUGCGAAAAGCUGCGGGGAGCUGGCAAACGAGCUUUGAUCCGCAGAUAUCUGAAUGGGGAAACCCACACCGCAAGGUGUAUCCGUAGCUCAAUACAUAGGUUACGGAGGCGAACGAGGAGAACUGAAACAUCUAAGUAUCCUCAGGAAAAGAAAUCAACCGAGAUUCCGGCAGUAGCGGCGAGCGAACCCGGAGGAGCCCAGCUUUUGAUAGUACGAACUUUAGCCGAAAGGACCUGGAAAGGCCUGCUAUAGUGGGUGAUAGCCCCGUAGGCGAAAGAGUUGGUACGGUACUAAGGAAGCGAGAAGUAGAGCGGGACACGUGGAAUCCUGUUCGAAGACGGGGGGACCAUCCUCCAAGGCUAAAUACUCGUGAUCGACCGAUAGUGAACCAGUACCGUGAGGGAAAGGCGAAAAGAACCCCGGGAGGGGAGUGAAAUAGAACCUGAAACCGCAUGCAUACAAACAGUAGGAGCCUCAUCAGAGGUGACUGCGUACCUUUUGCAUAAUGGGUCAGCGACUUACAUUCUGUGGCGAGCUUAACCGAAUAGGGGAGGCGCAGCGAAAGCGAGUUCGAAAUGAGCGUCCAGUCGCAGGGUGUAGACCCGAAACCAGAUGAGCUAUCCAUGGCCAGGUUGAAGGUGUGGUAACACACACUGGAGGACCGAACCGACUAGUGUUGCAAAAUUAGCGGAUGAGCUGUGGAUAGGGGUGAAAGGCCAAACAAAUCUGGAGAUAGCUGGUUCUCCCCGAAAACUAUUGAGGUAGUGCCUCGUGUGUCGCUCCAGGGGGUAGAGCACUGUUUUGGCUAGGGGGACAUGGAGUCUUACCAAACCAAGGCAAACUCCGAAUACCUGGAAGCGUGAGCACGGGAGACAGAGCACCGGGUGCUAACGUCCGGACUCAAAAGGGAAACAACCCAGACCGCCGGCUAAGGUCCCAAAUAACAGCUAAGUGGAAAACGAAGUGGAAAGGCCGUGACAACCAGGAAGUUGGCUUAGAAGCAGCCAUCCUUCAAAGAAAGCGUAAUAGCUCACUGGUCGAGUCCUUCUGCGCGGAAGAUGUAACGGGGCUAAGCUGUUAACCGAAGCCGCGGAUGCACUGGUUAUCCAGUGCGUGGUAGGGGAGCGUUCUGUAAGUCUGCGAAGGCGGUUCGAGAGGACUGCUGGAGAUAUCAGAAGUGCGAAUGCUGACAUGAGUAACGUUAAAGCAGGUGAAAAGCCUGCUCGCCGUAAGCCCAAGGAUUCCUGCUCUACGUUCAUCGGAGCAGGGUGAGUCGGCUCCUAAGGUCAGGCCGAAAGGCGUAGCCGAUGGGAAUCAGGUUAAUAUUCCUGAACCUGCGUCAGAUGCGAUGGGGGGACGGAGCAUGGAAGAUCAUCCGGGUGUUGGAAGUCCCGGUUGUUGAGCGUAGGAGGUCUGCAGGCAAAUCCGCAGACGCAUCUCCAAGGCAAAGACACGUGCCGCCACGGCGGCGAAGUGAUCGGAAGUGCUUCCAAGAAAAGCCUCUAAGCACCAGUCUGACGCGGACCGUACCGCAAACCGACACUGGUGGGCGAGCUGAAUAUGCUCAGGCGCUUGAGAGAACUCGGGAGAAGGAACUCGGCAAAUUGACACCGUAACUUCGGAAGAAGGUGUGCCGUAGUACCGUGAGAGGAGAGACACCUUGAGCGGGAAACGGUCUCAGAGAAUAGGUGGCUGCGACUGUUUAUUAAAAACACAGCACUCUGCAAAGUCGAAAGACGACGUAUAGGGUGUGAUGCCUGCCCGGUGCUGGAAGAUUAAUUGAUGGGGUGAGAGCCCUUGAUCGAAGUCCCAGUAAACGGCGGCCGUAACAAUAACGGUCCUAAGGUAGCGAAAUUCCUUGUCGGGUAAGUUCCGACCUGCACGAA
Molecule: ribosomal RNA, 1950 nt
Filed under: human gut metagenome
Description: bacterial LSU rRNA
Rfam family: Bacterial large subunit ribosomal RNA
Source: RNAcentral